UACGAAGGGGGGCUAGCGUCGCUCGGAAUCACUGGGCGUAAAGGGUGUGUAGGUGGCGCGCUAAGUCGGGUGUGAAAUUUCGGAGCUUAACUCCGAAACUGCAUUCGAUACUGGCGUGCUUGAGGACUGGAGAGGAGACUGGAAUUUACGGUGUAGCAGUGAAAUGCGUAGAUAUCGUAAGGAAGACCAGUGGCGAAGGCGGGUCUCUGGACAGUUCCUGACACUGAGACACGAAGGCCAGGGGAGCAAACGGG
RNAcentral lists this ribosomal RNA (254 nucleotides) under uncultured bacterium. RNAcentral describes it as "partial 16S ribosomal RNA". It matches the Rfam family "Bacterial small subunit ribosomal RNA", at positions 524 to 776 of the family's 1533-position model. The record is from RNAcentral.